UACGGAGGGUGCGAGCGUUGUUCGGAAUCACUGGGCGUAAAGCGCGUGUAGGCGGCCUGCUAAGUCUGAUGUGAAAGCCCGAGGCUCACCCUCGGAAGUGCAUUGGAAACUGGCAGACUGGAGUCCCGGAGAGGAGGGUGGAAUUCCUGGUGUAGCGGUGAAAUGCGUAGAUAUCAGGAGGAACACCGGUGGCGAAGGCGGCCCUCUGGACGGUGACUGACGCUGAGACGCGAAAGCGUGGGGAGCGAACAGG
This 253-nucleotide ribosomal RNA is filed under the name uncultured bacterium. Its description in RNAcentral is "partial 16S ribosomal RNA". It matches the Rfam family "Bacterial small subunit ribosomal RNA", at positions 524 to 776 of the family's 1533-position model. The record is from RNAcentral.